This 497-nucleotide ribosomal RNA is filed under the name uncultured bacterium. Its description in RNAcentral is "partial 16S ribosomal RNA". It matches the Rfam family "Bacterial small subunit ribosomal RNA", at positions 28 to 507 of the family's 1533-position model. The record is from RNAcentral.
GACGAACGCUGGCGGCGUGCCUAAUACAUGCAAGUUGAGCGCUGAAGGUUGGUACUUGUCCCAACUGGAUGAGCAGCGAACGGGUGAGUAACGCGUGGGGAAUCUGCCUUUGGGCGGGGGACAACAUUUGGAAACGAAUGCUAAUACCGCAUAAAAACUUUAAACACAAGUUUUAAGUUUGAAAGAUGCAAUUGCAUCACUCAAAGAUGAUCCCGCGUUGUAUUAGCUAGUUGGUGAGGUAAAGGCUCACCAAGGCGAUGAUACAUAGCCGACCUGAGAGGGUGAUCGGCCACAUUGGGACUGAGAAACGGCCCAAACUCCUACGGGAGGCAGCAGUAGGGAAUCUUCGGCAAUGGACGAAAGUCUGACCGAGCAACGCCGCGUGAGUGAAGAAGGGUUUCGGAUCGUAAAACUCUGUUGGUAGAGAAGAACGUUGGUGAGAGUGGAAAGCUCAUCAAGUGACGGUAACUACCCAGAAAGGGACGGCUAACUACGUG